Molecule: unclassified non-coding RNA, 243 nt
Filed under: uncultured Ascomycota
Lineage: Eukaryota; Fungi; Ascomycota
Description: sequence contains ITS2
Rfam family: 5.8S ribosomal RNA (bases 1-52)
Source: RNAcentral
AACGCACAUUGCGCCCGCCAGUAUUCUGGCGGGCAUGCCUGUUCGAGCGUCAUUUCAACCAUCAAGCCCCAGGCUUGUGUUGGGGGCCUGCAGCUGCUGCAGCCCCCUAAAAGCAGUGGCGGACUCGCUGUCAUACCGAGCGCAGUAGUUACAUCUCGCUCUGGUCGUGGCGGCGGGCACCUGCCGUAAAACACUCUUUCUAAGGUUGACCUCGGAUCAGGUAGGAAUACCCGCUGAACUUAA